GUUUGCUCACUCACUUGGGUGGGCGGCGUACGGCUGAGUAACACGUGGUCAAUCUACCCUAAGGACGCGUAUAACCUCGGGAAACUGAGGCUAAUUCGCGAUAGAUGCCUUAUGCUGGAAUGCUUAGGCAUUUAAAUGGCUGGUGAAUUGGAGCCAGUCCGCCUUAGGAUGAGACUGCGGCGGAUCAUGGUAGUUGGUGGGGUAAUGGCCCACCAAGCCGAUAAUCCGUAGGGGCCAUGGGAGUGGUGGCCCCCAGAAGGGUACUGAGACAAGGACCCUAGUCCUACGGGAUGCAGCAGGCGCGAAACCUCUGCAAUGCGCGCAAGCGUGACAGGGGAAGUCUGAGUGGCGGAAACUUAGUUUCCGUCUUUUGCCAAGUGCAAAAAGCUUGGAGAAUAAGGGUGUGGGCAAGACUGGUGGCAGCCGCCUCGGUAACACCAGCGCCUCGAGUGGUACCCACGAAUAUUGGGCCUAAAGUGUCCGUAGCCGGACUGUUAAGUCCGCUGUGAAAUGUUGGGGCUCAACCCUAACGCGUGCAGUGGAUACUGUCAAGUCUUGGGAACGGGGGAGGGUCGGAGUACUUCCAGGGUAGGGGUAAAAUCCGUUGAGCCUGGAAGGACUACCAGUGGCGAAGGCGCCGAUCCAAAACGUGUCCGACGGUGAGGGACGAAAGCUGGGGGAGCGAACGGGAUUAGAUACCCCGGUAGUCCCAGCUGUAAAUUAUGCAGACUGUGGUGUUACACAUGAGUAAUCAUGUGUAGUGCUGUAGCGUAGGUGUUAAGUCUGCCGCCUGGGGAGUACGAUCGCAAGAUUGAAACUUAAAGGAAUUGGCGGGGGAGCACCACAAGCCGUGGAUGCUACGGUUUAAUUGGAUACAACGCCGGAAAUAUCACCAAAAGCGACGGCAGUAUGAAGGCCAGACUAAAGAUCUUGCCUGACGAGCCGAGAGGUAUUGCAUGGCCAUCGUCAGCUCGUGGUGUGAACUGUCCUGUUAAGUCAGGCAACGAGCGAGACCCAUGCGUUUAGUUACAAACUCCUUCUCCGGAAGGGGUGUACUCUAAACGGACUGCCCGUGCUAAAUGGGAGGAAGGAGUGGGCGACGGUAGGUCAGUAUGGUCCGAAACUUUUGGGCUACACGCGGCAUACAGUGGAUGGAACAAUGGGCUGCGACUUCGAAAGGAGGAGCCAAUCCCCUAAAUCCAUCCGUGGUUCGGAUUGAGGGUUGCAACUCACCCUCAUGAAGAUGGAAUGGCUAGUAAUCGCGUGUCACUAUCGCGCGGUGAAUGUGUCCCCGCUUCUUGCACACACCGCCCGUCAAGUCACCCAAAUGUUUUUUCGGUGAGACCCCGGUUCAUGCCGGGUUCGAACCGAGAGGGCGUGAGGGGGGCUAAGUCGUAACAAAGUA
This 1405-nucleotide ribosomal RNA is filed under the name metagenome. RNAcentral's name for it is "bacterial SSU rRNA". It matches the Rfam family "Archaeal small subunit ribosomal RNA". The record is from RNAcentral.